GAGGGAGAGGACCCAGAGAUGUCAUACCUUUCCUUGACAGCCCCACCAAGAAAGGAAAAGUGAUGGCAGUCUGGAGUUUUGAAACGGAACAGGGCUGGGGGGGCAGAGUGGGAGGACAAUCAGACAGCCUUCGGCCUCUCUGAAAUAGGGUAACUGGACCUUCUUCAGGCCUAGUAGUGAUUUCAUAGAAUAGAGGGCCGAAAAACCAGAUUACACUGCAAUUUUCUGGCCUGGUUGGAUCUGACUCGCCAGACACCUCUAGCCCUACACUUCCUUUCCUAGCUGCUAGCUCCUCUCAAGCUGGCCUCGAUUUGCAGCUCUAACUUGGGCGUCCUCCGGACACUGGCGCUGCCCAUGCCGGGGCCCACGUCGCCCACCCCGGAUUCCACACUCUCUCCUCAAGAGGACACAACGCGGCCGGGAGCAGUAGGGAGCACCAUCGAGAAGCGAUGCGCGGAUAGAGAGGUGACGGGAGCGGGCGCCCCCGGGCGGCCGGAGGACGACCAGGCGUUGCGAAGAGACCAGCCCACCCCGCCGGCUGGAGCGCCUGCUUCACCGCAGCGCAGAGCGUUUUAUCCUUUUCCAAAGCAUUCUGUGUGCUUUGCUUUCCAUUCCGCUGCUCCGACUCCGGGGACUAGAGAGAGAAACGUGCUGUUUGUUCGUUUUACGAACGGAAAAGCUGAACUCAAAGGAGUUAAAUGUCUUGGCAAAGACAAGUCGGCAAAUUAAAAGAAAAGCCGUCCUGGCUUCCGGUCUCCUGGCUGGUAGCCGGGGCCUCAUUUCAUAGAUAGUGGCUCAAUAACUCCCCGAUGCGGGAACUUCAACCUUCAUCUCAGACCUUUAACUAAAGAUUUUAAUGAGUGUUGACUUUGAAUCCUC
Molecule: long non-coding RNA, 879 nt
Organism: Peromyscus californicus insignis
Lineage: Eukaryota; Metazoa; Chordata; Mammalia; Rodentia; Cricetidae
Exons: 2
Source: RefSeq, a predicted model, not a curated record